GGCUUAAAUGGGAAUUGAUCGGUUUAGAAAUAGACCUUCCUUCGGGCAAUUUUCAAGGUGCUGCAUGGUUGUCGUCAGCUCGUGCCGUGAGGUGUUAGGUUAAGUCCUGCAACGAGCGCAACCCCUGUCACUAGUUGCCAUCAUUCAGUUGGGGACUCUAGUGAGACUGCCUACGCAAGUAGAGAGGAAGGUGGGGAUGACGUCAAAUCAUCACGGCCCUUACGCCUUGGGCCACACACGUAAUACAAUGGCCGGUACAGAGGGCAGCUACACAGCGAUGUGAUGCAAAUCUCGAAAGCCGGUCUCAGUUCGGAUUGGAGUCUGCAACUCGACUCUAUGAAGCUGGACUCGCUAGUAAUCGCGCAUCAGCCAUGGCGCGGUGAAUACGUUCCCGGGCCUUGUACACACCGCCCGUCAAGCCAUGGAAGUCUGGGGUACCUGAAGUCGGUGACCGUAAAAGGAGCUGCCUAGGGUAAAACAGGUAACUAGGGCUAAGUCGUAACAAGGUAACC
This 512-nucleotide ribosomal RNA is filed under the name uncultured Bacteroidota bacterium. RNAcentral's name for it is "bacterial SSU rRNA". It matches the Rfam family "Bacterial small subunit ribosomal RNA", at positions 978 to 1501 of the family's 1533-position model. The record is from RNAcentral. Lineage: Bacteria; Pseudomonadati; Bacteroidota.